Molecule: ribosomal RNA, 484 nt
Filed under: uncultured bacterium
Lineage: Bacteria
Description: bacterial SSU rRNA
Rfam family: Bacterial small subunit ribosomal RNA
Source: RNAcentral
AUUGAACGCUGGCGGCAGGCUUAACACAUGCAAGUCGAGCGGAGAGAGGUAGCUUGCUACCGAUCUUAGCGGCGGACGGGUGAGUAAUGCUUAGGAAUCUGCCUAUUAGUGGGGGACAACAUUUCGAAAGGAAUGCUAAUACCGCAUACGUCCUACGGGAGAAAGCAGGGGAUCUUCGGACCUUGCGCUAAUAGAUGAGCCUAAGUCGGAUUAGCUAGUUGGUGGGGUAAAGGCCUACCAAGGCGACGAUCUGUAGCGGGUCUGAGAGGAUGAUCCGCCACACUGGGACUGAGACACGGCCCAGACUCCUACGGGAGGCAGCAGUGGGGAAUAUUGGACAAUGGGCGGAAGCCUGAUCCAGCCAUGCCGCGUGUGUGAAGAAGGCCUUAUGGUUGUAAAGCACUUUAAGCGAGGAGGAGGCUACUUUAGUUAAUACCUAGAGAUAGUGGACGUUACUCGCAGAAUAAGCACCGGCUAACUCUGU